GAGAGCUUGCUCUCUGGAUCAGUGGCGAACGGGUGAGUAACACGUGAGCAAUCUGCCCUUGACUCUGGGAUAAGCGCUGGAAACGGCGUCUAAUACCGGAUACGAGCUGUGAAGGCAUCUUCAACAGCUGGAAAGAACUUCGGUCAAGGAUGAGCUCGCGGCCUAUCAGCUAGUUGGUGAGGUAAUGGCUCACCAAGGCGUCGACGGGUAGCCGGCCUGAGAGGGUGACCGGCCACACUGGGACUGAGACACGGCCCAGACUCCUACGGGAGGCAGCAGUGGGGAAUAUUGCACAAUGGGCGCAAGCCUGAUGCAGCAACGCCGCGUGAGGGACGACGGCCUUCGGGUUGUAAACCUCUUUUAGCAGGGAAGAAGCGAAAGUGACGGUACCUGCAGAAAAAGCACCGGCUAACUACGUGCCAGCAGCCGCGGUAAUACGUAGGGUGCAAGCGUUAUCCGGAAUUAUUGGGCGUAAAGAGCUCGUAGGCGGUUUGUCGCGUCUGCUGUGAAAACUGGGGGCUCAACCCCCAGCCUGCAGUGGGUACGGGCAGACUAGAGUGCGGUAGGGGAGAUUGGAAUUCCUGGUGUAGCGGUGGAAUGCGCAGAUAUCAGGAGGAACACCGAUGGCGAAGGCAGAUCUCUGGGCCGUAACUGACGCUGAGGA
This 664-nucleotide ribosomal RNA is filed under the name Microbacterium lacus. Its description in RNAcentral is "bacterial SSU rRNA". It matches the Rfam family "Bacterial small subunit ribosomal RNA", at positions 74 to 752 of the family's 1533-position model. Lineage: Bacteria; Bacillati; Actinomycetota; Actinomycetes; Micrococcales; Microbacteriaceae. The record is from RNAcentral.